UACGGAGGGUGCGAGCGUUGUCCGGAAUCACUGGGCGUAAAGGGCGCGUAGGUGGCGCCGCAAGUCCAUGGUGAAAGCUCGAUGCUCAACAUCGAGUCGGCCACGGAGACUGCGGGGCUCGAGCACUGUAGGGGCAGAUGGAAUUCCGGGUGUAGCGGUGGAAUGCGUAGAGAUCCGGAAGAACACCGGUGGCGAAGGCGGUCUGCUGGGCAGUUGCUGACACUGAGGCGCGACAGCGUGGGGAGCAAACAGG
RNAcentral lists this ribosomal RNA (253 nucleotides) under uncultured bacterium. RNAcentral describes it as "partial 16S ribosomal RNA". It matches the Rfam family "Bacterial small subunit ribosomal RNA", at positions 524 to 776 of the family's 1533-position model. The record is from RNAcentral.